AUGCAUGACUUUGGGUUGAGGCAGACAUUGUUGGUGUCCAAUCAGUUGAGGCAGACACCAGUGUCCAAGGAGUGGAGGCACACAGAUUAUGUCAUCAUCGACCCACAAGAAAUUGCCAGCAGAUCCAGGCGCGAAGAUAAGAAUAAUAUCAUUAAGGUGCUACUUGGUGAAGCUAGCAAUGCAAAUCUUGCAGUAGUUCCCAUUGUUGGAAUGGGGGGCCUUGGCAAGACCACAUUGGCGCAACUCAUAUACAAUGAACCUGAAAUUCAGAAGCAUUUUCCGUUGCAGCUCUGGGUCUGCAUCUCUGAUACCUUUGAUGUGAAUUCGGUGGCUAAGAGUAUAGUUGAAGCAUCCCCCAAGAAAAAUGAUGAUACAAACAAACCAGCACUGGAUAGACUUCAAAAACUGGUCAGCGGGCAGAGGUAUCUCCUUGUAUUGGAUGAUGUCUGGAACAGAGAGGUCCAUAAGUGGGAAAGGCUGAAGGUCUGUCUUCAACAGGGUGGCAUGGGUAGUGCAGUGUUGACAACAACCCGUGAUAAACAAGUUGCUGAAACUAUGGGUGUAGAUAGAACCUACAAUCUCAAUGUUUUGCAGGAUUACUUCAUAGAGGAAAUUAUUGUGGAUAGAGCAUUCAGUUCAGAGAAUGAAAAGCCUCCCGAGCUGCUCGAGAUGGUUGGUGAGAUUGUGAAGAGAUGUCGUGGCUCUCCUUUAGCUGCAACUGCACUGGGCUCUGUACUUCGUACCAAGACCAGCGUAGAAGAAUGGAAGGUUGUAUCAUCUAGAAGCAGUAUCUGCACUGAGGAAACGGGAAUUUUGCCAAUACUCAAGCUUAGCUACAACGAUUUGCCAGCACACAUGAAGCAAUGCUUUGCUUUCUGUGCCAUAUUUCCCAAGGAUUACAAGAUUAAUGUGGAGAAGCUUAUCCAACUUUGGAUUGCAAAUGGCUUUAUCCCAGAACAGGAGGAAGAUAGUCUUGAAACCGUUGGCAAACAUAUUUUCAGUGAGCUAGCAUCAAGGUCAUUCUUUCUGGACAUAGAGGAAUUUAAGGGUGACAUGCAAAAUCAGCAGUACUGUUUCAGAACUACAUGCAAAAUCCAUGAUCUUAUGCAUGAUAUUGCAAUGUCUGUUAUGGGAAAGGAAUGUGUCGUUGCAAUUAAGGAACCAAGUCAAAUUGAGUGGCUUUCGGAUACUGCUCGGCAUUUGUUCUUGUCAUGUGAUGAAACAGAAGGUAUUUUGAAUGAUUCUUUGGAGAAAAAGUCCCCUGCCAUUCAAACACUGAUAUGCGAUAGUCCUAUUCAAAGCUCAUUGAAGCAUCUAUCAAAAUAUAGCUCUUUGCAUGCCUUGAAGCUCUGUCUGGGAACAGAAUCAUUUCCGCUCAAACCAAAGUAUCUGCAUCACCUGAGGUACCUUGAUCUCUCGUGGAGUGAUAUCGAAGCACUUCCUGAGGAUAUAAGUAUUCUAUAUAACCUGCAAGUGUUGGACCUUUCCGACUGCCGUUAUCUUGAACGACUUCCAAUGCAAAUGAAGUAUAUGACUUUCCUCCGUCACCUCUACACUCAUGGAUGUCCGGGGUUGAAGAGCAUGCCUCCAGGACUAGGAAAACUCACUAACCUACAGACGCUGACAUGGUUUGUGGCAGGAGUUCCUGGUCCUGAUUGCAGUGAUGUUGGAGAGCUGCAGCAUUUAAACCUUGGUGGGCAGCUAGAGCUAUGCCAGUUAGAGAAUAUCGAUAUAGAAACAGAAGCGAAAGUGGCAGAUUUCGGUAAAAAGAAGGAUCUCAGAGAACUGACAUUAAGAUGGAGCUCUGUUUGUGUCAGCAAGGUGCUCAACAAUUUUGAACCUCAUGUUGGGCUGCAGGUUCUGAAGAUAUAUUCCUAUGGAGGAGAGUGCAUGGGUAUGUUGCAGAACAUGGUUGAGAUCCAUCUUUUUCAUUGUGAAAGAUUGCAAUUUUUGUUCAAAUGCAGUACAAUCCUCACUUUUCCAAAACUGAAGGUGCUUAUGCUAGAACAUCUGUUGGGUUUUGAAAGAUGGCCGGAAAUAGAUGAGAGGCAAGAAGAACAAACAAUAUUUCCUGUGCUUGAGAAGUUGUUUAUUAGUAAUUGUGGAAAGUUGGUAGCAUUACCUGAAGCACCAUUGCUGCAAGGACCUUGUGGUGAAGGUGGUUAUACAUUGGUACGCUCAGCGUUUCCUGCCCUAAAGGUACUCAAAAUGAAAGAGUUGGAGAGCUUUCAGAGAUGGGAUGCAGUCGAAGAGACUCAAGGAGAACAUAUAUUGUUUCCUUGUCUAGAGGAACUGUCAAUUGAGAAAUGCCCAAAGCUGAUAAAUUUACCUGAAGCACCAUUGCUUGAAGAACCAUGUAGUGGAGGUGGUUAUAGAUUGGUACGUUCAGCCUUUCCUGCCCUCAAGGUGCUCAAAAUGGAAGACUUGGAGAGCUUUCAGAGAUGGGAUGCAGUUGAAGGGACAUUGUUUCCUGAGCUUGAGAAACUGUCAGUCCAGAAAUGCCCAAAACUGGUAGCAUUGCCCAAAGCACCAAAACUCAGUUUAUUCGAAAUUGAAGAUGGGAAGCAAGAGAUCUUCCACUGUGUAGACAGGUAUUUGUCUUCAUUGACCAAGCUGACACUGAAGCUAGAACACACAGAAACAACAUCAGAGUCUGAAUGCACUUCAAUUGUACUGGUCGACAGCAAAGAGAAAUGGAACCAGAAAUCCCCACUUACAGUUAUGGAGUUAGGACGCUGCAACUCAUUCUUUGGACCAGGUGCACUAGAGCCGUGGGACUAUUUUGUACAUCUUGGAGAGCUGGUAAUUAACAGAUGCGAUGUGCUCAUCCACUGGCCAGAGAAUGUGUUCCAAAGCUUGGUAUCCUUGAGGAUAUUAGUGAUUAGAAACUGCGAAAACCUGACUGGAUAUGCACAGGCUCCUCUUGAGCCAUUGGCGUCCGAAAGGAGUCAACACCUGCCAGGUCUGGAGUCCCUUUAUUUAUAUGAUUGUGUAAAUUUGGUAGAGAUGUUCAACGUUUCGGCAUCUCUCAAGGAAAUGAAUAUUCGUCGGUGCCAUAAGCUUGAGUCCAUAUUCGGCAAGCAGCAGGGCAUGCCGGAGUUAGUCCAAGGAUCUUCUAGCAGUGAGGCAGUCAUGCCUGCAGCUGUAUCAGAGUUGCCAUCCUCACCCAUGAAUCACUUUUGUCCAUGCCUAGAAGAUCUAAGUUUAGUCGAAUGUGGAAGCUUACAAGCGGUUCUAAGUCUGCCUCCAUCCUUAAAGACCAUAUAUAUUUCUGGCUGCAAUAGCAUUCAAGUCCUAUCAUGUCAGCUGGGUGGGCUCCAGAAUCCAGAAGCCACUACCUCCAUAAGCAGAAGUCCUAUCAUGCCAGAGCCACCAGCAGCAACAGCACCAACUGCAAGAGAGCAUUUACUUCCUCCCCAUCUCGAAUAUCUAGCAAUACUGGACUGUGCUGCCAUGUUGGGUGGGACUCUUCGUCUGCCUGCGCCCCUCAAGAGACUGCGCAUUAUUGGCAACAGUGGGCUGACAUCGCUGGAGUGUCUGUCGGGAGAGCACCCCCCAUCGCUGGAAUACCUUUAUCUUGAAAGAUGCAGUACCCUGGCAUCCCUGCCGAAUGAGCCGCAAGUAUACAGGUCUCUCUACUUUGUUGGAAUUACAGGCUGCCCUGCUAUAAAGAAGCUCCCUAGAUGCCUGCAGCAGCAACUGGGCAGCAUUAACAUCAAAGGACUAGAUGCCCGUUAUGAAGUGAUGGCACUUAAACCGAAUACAUGGAAGGAGAUGCCAAGGCUAGUCCGUGAGCGGAGGAAGGCCACUCGACAAGCCAGGGAGCGCCAGCAAGCCAUGCAGGAGUAA
This 3849-nucleotide ribosomal RNA is filed under the name Triticum aestivum (bread wheat). RNAcentral's name for it is "partial small subunit ribosomal RNA". The record is from RNAcentral. Lineage: Eukaryota; Viridiplantae; Streptophyta; Magnoliopsida; Poales; Poaceae.